This 503-nucleotide ribosomal RNA is filed under the name uncultured bacterium. Its description in RNAcentral is "partial 16S ribosomal RNA". It matches the Rfam family "Bacterial small subunit ribosomal RNA", at positions 28 to 523 of the family's 1533-position model. The record is from RNAcentral.
GAUGAACGCUGGCGGCGUGCCUAAUACAUGCAAGUCGAACGAAGAUCUAGCUUGCUAGAUCUUAGUGGCGAACGGGUGAGUAAUACAUAAAUAAUCUGCCCAUAUGACUGGGAUAACUAUUGGAAACGAUAGCUAAUACCGGAUAGGUUGAUCGGAGGCAUCUCUGAUGAAUUAAAGUAGGAUUUCUACACAAAUGGAUGAGUUUAUGGCGCAUUAGUUAGUUGGUGGGGUAACGGCCUACCAAGACGAUGAUGCGUAGCCGACCUGAGAGGGUGACCGGCCACACUGGGACUGAGACACGGCCCAGACUCCUACGGGAGGCAGCAGUAGGGAAUUUUCGGCAAUGGGCGCAAGCCUGACCGAGCAACGCCGCGUGAGUGGUUAAGGCCUUCGGGUUGUAAAGCUCUGUUGUAAGGGAAGAACAUUCAGGAUAGGAAAUGNUCUUGAACUGACGGUACCUUACCAGAAAGCCACGGCUAACUACGUGCCAGCCGCCGCCGUAA